This 253-nucleotide ribosomal RNA is filed under the name uncultured bacterium. RNAcentral describes it as "partial 16S ribosomal RNA". It matches the Rfam family "Bacterial small subunit ribosomal RNA", at positions 524 to 776 of the family's 1533-position model. The record is from RNAcentral.
UACGGGGGGGGCAAGCGUUGUUCGGAAUUACUGGGCGUAAAGGGCUCGUAGGCGGCCAACUAAGUCAGACGUGAAAUCCCCAGGCUCAACCUGGGAACUGCGUCUGAUACUGGGCGGCUUGAAUUCGGGAGAGGAAUGCGGAAUUCCAGGUGUAGCGGUGAAAUGCGUAGAUAUCUGGAGGAACACCGGUGGCGAAGGCGGCAUUCUGGACCGACAUUGACGCUGAGGCGCGAAAGCCAGGGGAGCAAACGGG